This 477-nucleotide ribosomal RNA is filed under the name uncultured bacterium. RNAcentral describes it as "bacterial SSU rRNA". It matches the Rfam family "Bacterial small subunit ribosomal RNA", at positions 60 to 504 of the family's 1533-position model. The record is from RNAcentral.
AGUCGAACGCAAUCUUUUAACAAUGAGUGCUUGCACUCAGCGUUUUANGUGCGAGUGGCGAACGGGUGAGUAACACGUGGGCAAUCUGCCCAAAAGUGGGGGAUAACACUUGGAAACAGGUGCUAAUACCGCAUCAACCGGCUGACCGCAUGGUCGGCCGAGCAAAGACGGCGUCAGCUGUCGCUUUUGGAUGGACCCGCGGCGUAUUAGCUAGUUGGUGAGGUAACGGCUCACCAAGGCAAUGAUACGUAGCCGAACUGAGAGGUUGAUCGGCCACAUUGGGACUGAGACACGGCCCAAACUCCUACGGGAGGCAGCAGUAGGGAAUCUUCCACAAUGGACGCAAGUCUGAUGGAGCAACGCCGCGUGAGUGAAGAAGGUUUUCGGAUCGUAAAGCUCUGUUGUUGGUGAAGAAGGAUAGAGGUAGUAACUGGCCUUUAUUUGACGGUAAUCAACCAGAAAGUCACGGCUAACUAC